GCCUGGGUGGCUCAGUCGGUUAAGCGACUGACUUUGGCUCGGUCAUGAUCUGUAUUCGUGGGUUUGAGCCCCACGUCAGGCU
Molecule: transfer RNA, 82 nt
Filed under: Felis catus (domestic cat)
Lineage: Eukaryota; Metazoa; Chordata; Mammalia; Carnivora; Felidae
Rfam family: tRNA
About the family: Transfer RNA (tRNA) molecules are approximately 80 nucleotides in length. Their secondary structure includes four short double-helical elements and three loops (D, anti-codon, and T loops). Further hydrogen bonds mediate the characteristic L-shaped molecular structure. tRNAs have two regions of fundamental functional importance: the anti-codon, which is responsible for specific mRNA codon recognition, and the 3' end, to which the tRNAs corresponding amino acid is attached (by aminoacyl-tRNA synthetases). tRNAs cope with the degeneracy of the genetic code in two manners: having more than one tRNA (with a specific anti-codon) for a particular amino acid; and 'wobble' base-pairing, i.e. permitting non-standard base-pairing at the 3rd anti-codon position.
Source: Rfam by way of RNAcentral